Molecule: ribosomal RNA, 323 nt
Filed under: uncultured Diversispora
Lineage: Eukaryota; Fungi; Glomeromycota; Glomeromycetes; Diversisporales; Diversisporaceae
Description: SSU rRNA
Rfam family: Eukaryotic small subunit ribosomal RNA
Source: RNAcentral
AGCAGCCGCGGUAAUUCCAGCUCCAAUAGCGUAUAUUAAAGUUGUUGCAGUUAAAAAGCUCGUAGUUGAACUUCGGGGUCUACCCAUUGGUCAGGCUUAAUUGUCUGCACUGGUGAGAUGGAUCUCUACCUUCUGAGGAACUUUCAUGCCAUUUAUUUGGUGUGAUGGGAAAUCAGGACUGUUACUUUGAAAAAAUUGAGUGUUUAAAGCAGACUAUCGUCUGAAUACAUUAGCAUGGAAUAAUGAAAUAGGACGGACUGAUUCUAUUUCGUUGGUUUCUAGGAUCACCGUAAUGAUUAAUAGGGAUAGUUGGGGGCAUUAGU